AAAUUGAAGAGUUUGAUCAUGGCUCAGAUUGAACGCUGGCGGCAGGCCUAACACAUGCAAGUCGAACGGUAACAGGAAGCAGCUUGCUGCUUUGCUGACGAGUGGCGGACGGGUGAGUAAUGUCUGGGAAACUGCCUGAUGGAGGGGGAUAACUACUGGAAACGGUGGCUAAUACCGCAUAACGUCGCAAGACCAAAGAGGGGGACCUUCGGGCCUCUUGCCAUCAGAUGUGCCCAGAUGGGAUUAGCUAGUUGGUGAGGUAACGGCUCACCAAGGCGACGAUCCCUAGCUGGUCUGAGAGGAUGACCAGCCACACUGGAACUGAGACACGGUCCAGACUCCUACGGGAGGCAGCAGUGGGGAAUAUU
Molecule: ribosomal RNA, 368 nt
Filed under: Salmonella enterica
Lineage: Bacteria; Pseudomonadati; Pseudomonadota; Gammaproteobacteria; Enterobacterales; Enterobacteriaceae
Description: bacterial SSU rRNA
Rfam family: Bacterial small subunit ribosomal RNA
Source: RNAcentral